Molecule: ribosomal RNA, 486 nt
Filed under: uncultured bacterium
Lineage: Bacteria
Description: partial 16S ribosomal RNA
Rfam family: Bacterial small subunit ribosomal RNA
Source: RNAcentral
AUUGAACGCUGGCGGCAUGCCUUACACAUGCAAGUCGAACGGCAGCACGGGUGCUUGCCCCUGGUGGCGAGUGGCGGACGGGUGAGUAAUACAUCGGAACAUGUCCUGUAGUGGGGGAUAGCCCGGCGAAAGCCGGAUUAAUACCGCAUACGAUCUACGGAUGAAAGCGGGGGACCUUCGGGCCUCGCGCUAUAGGGUUGGCCGAUGGCUGAUUAGCUAGUUGGUGGGGUAAAGGCCUACCAAGGCGACGAUCAGUAGCUGGUCUGAGAGGACGACCAGCCACACUGGGACUGAGACACGGCCCAGACUCCUACGGGAGGCAGCAGUGGGGAAUUUUGGACAAUGGGCGAAAGCCUGAUCCAGCAAUGCCGCGUGUGUGAAGAAGGCCUUCGGGUUGUAAAGCACUUUUGUCCGGAAAGAAAUCCUUGGCCCUAAUACGGUCGGGGGAUGACGGUACCGGAAGAAUAAGCACCGGCUAACUACGUG